UACGUAGGUGGCUAGCGUUAUCCGGAAUUACUGGGCGUAAAGGGUGCGUAGGUGGUUUCUUAAGUCAGAGGUGAAAGGCUACGGCUCAACCGUAGUAAGCCUUUGAAACUGGGAAACUUGAGUGCAGGAGAGGAGAGUGGAAUUCCUAGUGUAGCGGUGAAAUGCGUAGAUAUUAGGAGGAACACCAGUUGCGAAGGCGGCUCUCUGGACUGUAACUGACACUGAGGCACGAAAGCGUGGGGAGCAAACAGGAUUAGAUACCCUGGUAGUCCCUGA
This 276-nucleotide ribosomal RNA is filed under the name uncultured prokaryote. Its description in RNAcentral is "partial 16S ribosomal RNA". It matches the Rfam family "Bacterial small subunit ribosomal RNA", at positions 524 to 800 of the family's 1533-position model. The record is from RNAcentral.